UUAAGUUAUUAAGGGCGCACGGUGGAUGCCUUGGCACUAGAAGCCGAUGAAGGACGUUACUAACGACGAUAUGCUUUGGGGAGCUGUAAGUAAGCUUUGAUCCAGAGAUUUCCGAAUGGGGAAACCCAGCAUGAGUUAUGUCAUGUUAUCGAUAUGUGAAUACAUAGCAUAUCAGAAGGCACACCCGGAGAACUGAAACAUCUUAGUACCCGGAGGAAGAGAAAGAAAAUUCGAUUCCCUUAGUAGCGGCGAGCGAAACGGGAAGAGCCCAAACCAACAAGCUUGCUUGUUGGGGUUGUAGGACACUCUGUACGGAGUUACAAAGGACGACAUUAGACGAAUCAUCUGGAAAGAUGAAUCAAAGAAGGUAAUAAUCCUGUAGUCGAAAAUGUUGUCUCUCUUGAGUGGAUCCUGAGUACGACGGAGCACGUGAAAUUCCGUCGGAAUCUGGGAGGACCAUCUCCUAAGGCUAAAUACUCUCUAGUGACCGAUAGUGAACCAGUACCGUGAGGGAAAGGUGAAAAGCACCCCGGAAGGGGAGUGAAAUAGAACCUGAAACCGUGUGCUUACAAGUAGUCAGAGCCCGUUAAUGGGUGAUGGCGUGCCUUUUGUAGAAUGAACCGGCGAGUUACGAUUUGAUGCAAGGUUAAGCAGUAAAUGUGGAGCCGUAGCGAAAGCGAGUCUGAAUGGGGCGUUUAGUAUUUGGUCGUAGACCCGAAACCAGGUGAUCUACCCUUGGUCAGGUUGAAGUUCAGGUAACACUGAAUGGAGGACCGAACCGACUUACGUUGAAAAGUGAGCGGAUGAACUGAGGGUAGCGGAGAAAUUCCAAUCGAACCUGGAGAUAGCUGGUUCUCUCCGAAAUAGCUUUAGGGCUAGCCUCAAGUGAUGAUUAUUGGAGGUAGAGCACUGUUUGGACGAGGGGCCCCUCUCGGGUUACCGAAUUCAGACAAACUCCGAAUGCCAAUUAAUUUAACUUGGGAGUCAGAACAUGGGUGAUAAGGUCCGUGUUCGAAAGGGAAACAGCCCAGACCACCAGCUAAGGUCCCAAAAUAUAUGUUAAGUGGAAAAGGAUGUGGCGUUGCCCAGACAACUAGGAUGUUGGCUUAGAAGCAGCCAUCAUUUAAAGAGUGCGUAAUAGCUCACUAGUCGAGUGACACUGCGCCGAAAAUGUACCGGGGCUAAACAUAUUACCGAAGCUGUGGAUUGUCCUUUGGACAAUGGUAGGAGAGCGUUCUAAGGGCGUUGAAGCAUGAUCGUAAGGACAUGUGGAGCGCUUAGAAGUGAGAAUGCCGGUGUGAGUAGCGAAAGACGGGUGAGAAUCCCGUCCACCGAUUGACUAAGGUUUCCAGAGGAAGGCUCGUCCGCUCUGGGUUAGUCGGGUCCUAAGCUGAGGCCGACAGGCGUAGGCGAUGGAUAACAGGUUGAUAUUCCUGUACCACCUAUAAUCGUUUUAAUCGAUGGGGGGACGCAGUAGGAUAGGCGAAGCGUGCGAUUGGAUUGCACGUCUAAGCAGUAAGGCUGAGUAUUAGGCAAAUCCGGUACUCGUUAAGGCUGAGCUGUGAUGGGGAGAAGACAUUGUGUCUUCGAGUCGUUGAUUUCACACUGCCGAGAAAAGCCUCUAGAUAGAAAAUAGGUGCCCGUACCGCAAACCGACACAGGUAGUCAAGAUGAGAAUUCUAAGGUGAGCGAGCGAACUCUCGUUAAGGAACUCGGCAAAAUGACCCCGUAACUUCGGGAGAAGGGGUGCUCUUUAGGGUUAACGCCCAGAAGAGCCGCAGUGAAUAGGCCCAAGCGACUGUUUAUCAAAAACACAGGUCUCUGCUAAACCGUAAGGUGAUGUAUAGGGGCUGACGCCUGCCCGGUGCUGGAAGGUUAAGAGGAGUGGUUAGCUUCUGCGAAGCUACGAAUCGAAGCCCCAGUAAACGGCGGCCGUAACUAUAACGGUCCUAAGGUAGCGAAAUUCCUUGUCGGGUAAGUUCCGACCCGCACGAAAGGCGUAACGAUUUGGGCACUGUCUCAACGAGAGACUCGGUGAAAUCAUAGUACCUGUGAAGAUGCAGGUUACCCGCGACAGGACGGAAAGACCCCGUGGAGCUUUACUGUAGCCUGAUAUUGAAAUUCGGCACAGCUUGUACAGGAUAGGUAGGAGCCUUUGAAACGUGAGCGCUAGCUUACGUGGAGGCGCUGGUGGGAUACUACCCUAGCUGUGUUGGCUUUCUAACCCGCACCACUUAUCGUGGUGGGAGACAGUGUCAGGCGGGCAGUUUGACUGGGGCGGUCGCCUCCUAAAAGGUAACGGAGGCGCUCAAAGGUUCCCUCAGAAUGGUUGGAAAUCAUUCAUAGAGUGUAAAGGCAUAAGGGAGCUUGACUGCGAGACCUACAAGUCGAGCAGGGUCGAAAGACGGACUUAGUGAUCCGGUGGUUCCGCAUGGAAGGGCCAUCGCUCAACGGAUAAAAGCUACCCCGGGGAUAACAGGCUUAUCUCCCCCAAGAGUUCACAUCGACGGGGAGGUUUGGCACCUCGAUGUCGGCUCAUCGCAUCCUGGGGCUGUAGUCGGUCCCAAGGGUUGGGCUGUUCGCCCAUUAAAGCGGUACGCGAGCUGGGUUCAGAACGUCGUGAGACAGUUCGGUCCCUAUCCGUCGUGGGCGUAGGAAAUUUGAGAGGAGCUGUCCUUAGUACGAGAGGACCGGGAUGGACAUACCUCUGGUGUACCAGUUGUCGUGCCAACGGCAUAGCUGGGUAGCUAUGUGUGGACGGGAUAAGUGCUGAAAGCAUCUAAGCAUGAAGCCCCCCUCAAGAUGAGAUUUCCCAACUUCGGUUAUAAGAUCCCUCAAAGAUGAUGAGGUUAAUAGGUUCGAGGUGGAAGCAUGGUGACAUGUGGAGCUGACGAAUACUAAUCGAUCGAAGACUUAAUCAA
RNAcentral lists this ribosomal RNA (2921 nucleotides) under Staphylococcus aureus DAR3176. RNAcentral's name for it is "bacterial LSU rRNA". It matches the Rfam family "Bacterial large subunit ribosomal RNA". Lineage: Bacteria; Bacillati; Bacillota; Bacilli; Caryophanales; Staphylococcaceae. The record is from RNAcentral.